Molecule: ribosomal RNA, 253 nt
Filed under: uncultured bacterium
Lineage: Bacteria
Description: partial 16S ribosomal RNA
Rfam family: Bacterial small subunit ribosomal RNA
Source: RNAcentral
UACGUAGGGAGCAAGCGUUGUCCGGAAUCAUUGGGCGUAAAGCGCGCGUAGGCGGCCCCGUAAGUCCGCUGUGAAAGUCAAAGGCUCAACCUUUGAAAGCCGGUGGAUACUGUGGGGCUAGAGUCCGGAAGAGGCGAGUGGAAUUCCUGGUGUAGCGGUGGAAUGCGCAGAUAUCAGGAGGAACACCGGUGGCGAAGGCGGGUCUCUGGGCCGAUACUGACGCUGAGGAGCGAAAGCGUGGGGAGCGAACAGG